ACCCGCUGAACUUAAGCAUAUCAAUAAGCGGAGGAAAAGAAACCAACAGGGAUUGCCUCAGUAACGGCGAGUGAAGCGGCAACAGCUCAAAUUUGAAAUCUGGCCUUUGCGGGUCCGAGUUGUAAUUUGUAGAGGACGUUUUUGGCACCGCCCCGGUUUAAAUUUCUUGGAACAGAAUGUCAAAGAGGGUGAGAAUCCCGUCUUGGACCGGUGGUAGGACCUCUGUAAAACUCCUUCGACGAGUCGAGUUGUUUGGGAAUGCAGCUCAAAAUGGGUGGUAAAUUUCAUCUAAAGCUAAAUAUUGGCCAGAGACCGAUAGCGCACAAGUAGAGUGAUCGAAAGAUGAAAAGCACUUUGAAAAGAGAGUUAAACAGUAUGUGAAAUUGUUGAAAGGGAAGCGCUGGCAACCAGACUUGAGCUGAAAGGUUCCCCCUUCCUUCUGGUUGGGUUAUUCCUUUCUGUCCAGGCCAACAUCGGUUCGGGUGGCCGGUUAAAGGCCUCGGGAAUGUAUCUACCCUUCGGGGUCGACUUAUAGCCCGGGGUGUCAUGCGGCCUACCUGGACCGAGGAACGCGCUUCGGCUCGGAUGUUGGCGUAAUGGUUGUCAGCGACCCGUCUUGAAACACGG
RNAcentral lists this ribosomal RNA (627 nucleotides) under uncultured fungus. Its description in RNAcentral is "LSU rRNA". It matches the Rfam family "Eukaryotic large subunit ribosomal RNA", at positions 23 to 664 of the family's 3401-position model. Lineage: Eukaryota; Fungi. The record is from RNAcentral.